Molecule: ribosomal RNA, 85 nt
Filed under: Brevibacillus borstelensis
Lineage: Bacteria; Bacillati; Bacillota; Bacilli; Caryophanales; Paenibacillaceae
Description: partial 23S ribosomal RNA
Rfam family: Bacterial large subunit ribosomal RNA
Source: RNAcentral
UAGACGAUGAGGUUGAUAGGUUCGGUGUGGAAGCGCGGCAACGCGUGGAGCUGACGAAUACUAAUCGGUCGAGGACUUAUCCACA